AUAUUGGAUAAUGGGGGCAACCCUGAUCCAGUGAUGCCGCGUGUGUGAAGAAGGUCUCCGGAUCGUAAAGCACUGUAAGUUGGGAGGAAGUGCUUUAGGUUAAUACCGUGAAGUUUGUACGUCACUCACAGAAUAUGCACAGGCUAACUCUGUACCAGCAGCCGCGUUAAUACAGAGCGUGCAAGCGUUACUCGGAAUUAAUGGGCGUAAAGCAGGCGUAGGUGGUUCAGUAAGAUGGGUGUGAAGUCCCCGGGCUUAACCUGGGAACUGCUUUCAUAACUGCUGAGCUAAAGUACGGUAGAGGGUAGUGGAAUUUCCUGUGUAGCGGUGAAAUGCGUAGAUAUAGGAAGGAACACCAGUGGCGAAGGCGACUACCUGGACUGAUACUGACACUGAGGUGCGAAAGCGUGGGGAGCAAACA
Molecule: ribosomal RNA, 421 nt
Filed under: uncultured bacterium
Lineage: Bacteria
Description: partial 16S ribosomal RNA
Rfam family: Bacterial small subunit ribosomal RNA
Source: RNAcentral